GACGAACGCUGGCGGCGUGCCUAAUACAUGCAAGUAGAACGCUGAAGCUUGGUGCUUGCACCGAGCGGAUGAGUUGCGAACGGGUGAGUAACGCGUAGGUAACCUGCCUGGUAGCGGGGGAUAACUAUUGGAAACGAUAGCUAAUACCGCAUAAUAGUAGAUGUUGCAUGACAUUUGCUUAAAAGGUGCAAUUGCAUCACUACCAGAUGGACCUGCGUUGUAUUAGCUAGUUGGUGAGGUAACGGCUCACCAAGGCAACGAUACAUAGCCGACCUGAGAGGGUGAUCGGCCACACUGGGACUGAGACACGGCCCAGACUCCUACGGGAGGCAGCAGUAGGGAAUCUUCGGCAAUAGACGGAAGUCUGACCGAGCAACGCCGCGUGAGUGAAGAAGGUUUUCGGAUCGUAAAGCUCUGUUGUAAGAGAAGAACGAGUGUGAGAGUGGAAAGUUCACACUGUGACGGUAUCUUACCAGAAAGGGACGGCUAACUACGUG
Molecule: ribosomal RNA, 497 nt
Filed under: uncultured bacterium
Lineage: Bacteria
Description: partial 16S ribosomal RNA
Rfam family: Bacterial small subunit ribosomal RNA
Source: RNAcentral